Indicator indicator is the source of this 143-nucleotide small nucleolar RNA. RefSeq annotates it as small nucleolar RNA ZL1. The record is from RefSeq and is a predicted model, not a curated record. NCBI's taxonomy places the organism in Eukaryota, Metazoa, Chordata, Aves, Piciformes, Indicatoridae. The transcript has a single exon.
AAAGAAGCAAAGUGAUGAGCAAUACUUCCAUGAGCCAAUGUGAGCGAGCUGCGUGUGUGCAGUUGUGUGAGAACUGUUUGUGUGAGAAUUGUGUGCCUUGUAAUUGGGCAAUGAUGGCUAAACUGAUAAGAUCUGAUUGCUUC